GUCUACGGCCAUGCCACCCUGAACAAGCCUGAUCCUGUCUGAUCUCGGAAUCUAAUAAGCAGGGUUGGGCUUGGUUAGUACUUGGAUGGGAGACCACCUAGGAGGAGCAGGUACUGUAGGCG
This 122-nucleotide ribosomal RNA is filed under the name Pteropus alecto (black flying fox). The record is from RNAcentral. Lineage: Eukaryota; Metazoa; Chordata; Mammalia; Chiroptera; Pteropodidae.